Long non-coding RNA from Cotesia glomerata, 609 nucleotides. RefSeq lists it as uncharacterized. Lineage: Eukaryota; Metazoa; Arthropoda; Insecta; Hymenoptera; Braconidae. The transcript is spliced from 2 exons. The record is from RefSeq and is a predicted model, not a curated record.
GGCGCAGUCUGAUGAGUAAAGAGAAUUAAAUAGAAUGUAUAGUAUUAUAUGGAGGAUAGGAGGUGUGUUUAGUUUUAAUAUUUCCGAUAUGCAAAGGUCGAGGGAGGAUAUUAACCAGCUAACAUAAAACCAUAGCAGCACAACACGCACCAACACUUACACACCGUACCAAGUAUACAGAACAGUAAUCAGCAUGAGCAUGAACCAGCACUUGCGCCAAGCGACAGUGUUAUAAUGUUAAUACAUCUAUAAGCUAAGUCAAAACUAAAGACUGAGAAAGCGUUUCGCUUCGAUGGCAUCUCCAAAACAUAAUUUUUAAAUAAAGGAUUGUUUUUUUUAGGUACACUUUGUCCCACGUACCAGCGGAAAUGCUCAGUGUCGGAGAUUUAAUUAAGCUGAUGAGUAAAACAUAAAAAAAGUAAGAUAAUGAUUUGGUAAUUAAAUGGAGAAUGAAAUUAGGCAACCAUGUGUAACGUUUGGAUUAAUAUAUAUAUUAUUAUCCUUGUAUCCUAGUGAUGCUAAUGAGGUAAUUUGGGACAUAAGAAAGAUUAAACAAAAACUCAACUACUAUAAUUCUAUUUAAUGCCAAUGGUACGGGUUACGAAUAAG